This 506-nucleotide ribosomal RNA is filed under the name uncultured bacterium. RNAcentral's name for it is "partial 16S ribosomal RNA". It matches the Rfam family "Bacterial small subunit ribosomal RNA", at positions 30 to 523 of the family's 1533-position model. The record is from RNAcentral.
AUUGAACGCUGGCGGCAGGCCUAACACAUGCAAGUCGAGCGGCAGCGGGAAGUAGCUUGCUACUUUGCCGGCGAGCGGCGGACGGGUGAGUAAUGUCUGGGAAACUGCCCGAUGGAGGGGGAUAACUACUGGAAACGGUAGCUAAUAUCGCAUAACGUCGCAAGACCAAAGAGGGGGACCUUCGGGCCUCUUGCCAUCGGAUGUGCCCAGAUGGGAUUAGCUAGUAGGUGGGGUAACGGCUCACCUAGGCGACGAUCCCUAGCUGGUCUGAGAGGAUGACCAGCCACACUGGAACUGAGACACGGUCCAGACUCCUACGGGAGGCAGCAGUGGGGAAUAUUGCACAAUGGGCGCAAGCCUGAUGCAGCCAUGCCGCGUGUAUGAAGAAGGCCUUCGGGUUGUAAAGUACUUUCAGCGGGGAGGAAGGUGUUGAGGUUAAUAACCUCAGCAAUUGACGUUACCCGCAGAAGAAGCACCGGCUAACUCCGUGCCAGCAGCCGCCGUAA